CACACGCCCACACGGCAGGCGCCGGGCGGGCGGCGUCUGUCUCUUUCUGCUUGCCGUAGGAGGCGGUGCGGCGCAGACAGUGGGCCGCCGCCUCCGCCGCUGCCUCAGGGGGCAAGUAACGCAGACCCCGCGGCUAGCCGCCCCGAGGAGCCUGGCGCCCGUGGACAGGUGGGCUUCCCGCCCAGAGACGCUCGGGCUGCCCGCACGGCCCGGGAGACCCCGCCAGCAGCCUGUCCGCGGUUCGCCUCGGCGGCCGGGGAAGGAGGGAGGGCGGCGCGGACGGCCGUCCCGGUCCUCGCGGGCGGCCGUCCCGGUCCUCGCGGGCGGCAGCUGGCCCGGCGUCGGGCUCCCCAGUUUCUGGUACCGAAGCGCAGACGGGUUUCCUUGUCGGAGCCACGCACCGUUAAUGUAAGGCCGUAGGGUCUUCUGUGCCAUCUGGCCCUUCCAUUGCGUCAUGUCUGUUACGCUCCUCCCGCCUGCUGGUGUGUUGGCUCCGCGACAGCAGUUCAGCUACCGUGGCCUAUGUUUCCUCUUCAACCCACAGAGAGGUCAACCUGAAUCAACAUGUCUGGGACUGAAGAAGCAAUUCUUAGCGGCCGUGACAGCCAUCCUGCUGGUGGCAACUCUGUAUUAUGCUUUGGUCAGUACCAAUACACAGCAGAAGAGUCCCAGGCCAUCCAGAAUGCUCUGAGGCAGAGGCUGGGCCCAGAAUACAUAAGUAGCCGCGUGGCUGGAGGAGGCCAGAAGGUGUGUUACAUUGAGGGUCACAGGGUAAUUAAUCUGGCCAAUGAGAUGUUUGGCUACAAUGGCUGGGCACACUCUAUCACACAACAGAACGUGGAUUUUGUUGACCUUAACAAUGGCAAGUUCUACGUGGGCGUCUGUGCGUUUGUGAGAGUCCAGCUGAAGGAUGGUUCGUAUCAUGAGGACGUGGGCUAUGGUGUUAGCGAGGGCCUCAAGUCCAAAGCCUUGUCUUUGGAGAAGGCGAGGAAGGAGGCAGUGACCGAUGGGCUGAAGCGAGCACUGAGAAGUUUCGGGAAUGCACUUGGAAAUUGUAUUCUGGACAAAGACUAUCUGAGGUCACUAAACAAGCUUCCACACCAGCUGCCUCUCGAAGUGGACUUAACUAAAGCAAAGAGACAAGACUUUGAACCAUCUGUGGAACAAGCCAGAUAUAGCAGCUGCCGACAGAACCUGGCUCUGGGACCCCCCAAACCACAGGAGGUGACAUCCCCUUGCAGACCAAGCCACCACGUUGUGACGCAGGGGACGAGGACAGCAGCUCCGGGUGCAGGCCGCGUGCCCUCCCCGCCCCUGCUCCUUCCCAGAAGCGCGACCUCCACUGCCACAGAGAGCGAUGCCACGUACCAGCGGAAGCUCCGGCAAAGACAGCUGCAGCAGCGGUUCCGGGAGCAGAUGGAGAAACAGCAGCAGGAAGCCCCGUCUGGCCCGCCCACCGAGAAGCAGGGCCCUGCAGCGCUGCCACCGGUGCCACCUGCCGGAACUGCUGCUUCAGAGCCGCUCACCCAGACAGACGUGCUUCCAGACAGUCUUGAAAUGUGGGACAUGGCUCUAGAUGCAGGGGACAGUGUGGUCAAGCCCUUGUCUAAACCAGAACCGCCGCAGGCCCGUGCCACCUCCGUCCUGCAGAACGAGAUGGAGACCUGGAACAGGACCCCACAGAGCCUUUGCCACCAGAAUCCACAGGCAAAAUCUGGACCCUGGCACCUUCACAACCUUAACCAACACGUAACAGAAGUCGGAGGGGACUCACGCCAGAGCAGCAGCAGCCUGAGAAAAUGGAGUGUAACUGGAUUAAGAGCCGCACGUCUUCCUUGGGGUCCUGACUUGAGGUGCAGCUCUUUCUAGCGGAUGGUGGUGGGACGCUGAAGCGUGGCUGCAUUAAGAGCUUUCCUCUUAAAAGCAGGAGACUGUGCUUCAUAUAGGAAGAACCAGGACAUGAAGAAAAGGAGAUUGGAUCCAUCUUGACCAAGGCUCCGUUCACCUCACUGGAUUCUGU
RNA transcript from Physeter macrocephalus (sperm whale), 2020 nucleotides. It is a transcript of the gene named RAD52 homolog, DNA repair protein, with no coding region annotated. The transcript is spliced from 14 exons. Lineage: Eukaryota; Metazoa; Chordata; Mammalia; Artiodactyla; Physeteridae. The record is from RefSeq and is a predicted model, not a curated record.